GAUGGAGAGGAAGGAGAGGAGAAUGUGGGAUGGAGGGAGAGGAAGGAGAGGAGAACGUGGGAUGGAGAGGAAGGAGAGGAGAACAUGGGAUGGAGAGGGAGAGGACGGAGAGGAGAACGUGGAUGGAGAGGAAGGAGAGGAGAAUGUGGGAUGGAGAGGAGAAUGUGGGAUGGAGAGGGAGAGGAAGGAGAGGAGAAUGUGGGAUGGAGAGGAAGGAGAGGAGAAUGUGGGAUGGAGAGGGAGAGGAAGGAGAGGAGAAUGUGGGAUGGAGAGGAAGAGAAAGGAGAGGAGAAUGUGGGAUGGAGAGGAAGGAGAGGAGAAUGUGGGAUGGAGAGGAAGAGAAAGGAGAGGAGAAUGUGGGAUGGAGAGGGAGAGAAAGGAGAGGAGAAUGUGGGAUGGAGAGGGAUAGAGAGCAGUUGCUUUGUGAGGAAUCUCUACCUGAAAAUACCUGAUCUAAGUGAUUGAUAGUUGGUAAACAUCAAUCCUAAAAUUAGACCUUACUUACUUUGAAGAACUACUGAAACAGUGAUGUUGUCAGACAGCGGCUCUGUUGUGAUGAGACAACGACUUGGAAUUAAAUAAUAAAAUGUAAUGUAAUAAACACAACAACUGGAAUAUGUUCUUGAAGUUAAGUCAUGUGAAUAAGUGAUGGUUAAUUGAUGAUCAGCAGUAAUGAACAGUCACUUCCAUCAUGGGACAUUUAUUCAGUGUUUUAUUCUGUGUUACAGUGCUUCAAUCCACAUAAUGCAUUUGUGCAUUUAAUGUAAAAAAUAAAUAAAUAAAUAAACUAACCUGGAAAUCGAAAACCGUUAUUAUUUUUGAAUAAUCGAACCGAAACGGACGUCAAAAAGCUCAGGACUAGCACCGGAUAAAACCAGGUAAUGAAUUCAGCAGCACAAGCAGAUGCCAAUCACAUGGAUGUUAUAAGCAAUUAGUAAAUGUUUACCUCUGCUAAUCCCGGAAUAGUUGUCCUCGGCAAAGGAUUUCUAUACGUAGCAAGAAAAGUUGAUAUGAGAGGACACGAUGUUGAGUCAGUAGUGGUGUGGAGGUGUGGGUCAGUAGUGGUGUGGAGGUGUGGGUCAGUAGUGGUGUGGAGGUGUGGGUCAGUAGUGUUACGGAGGUGUGGGUCAGUAGUGUUGUGGGUCAGUAGUGUUGUGGAGGUGUGGGUCAGUAGUGUUGUGGGUCAGUAGUGUUGUGGAGGUGUGGGUCAGUAGUGUUGUGGAGGUGUGGGUCAGUAGUGUUGUGGAGGUGUGGGUCAGUAGUGUUGUGGAGGUGUGGGUCAGUAGUG
Molecule: long non-coding RNA, 1288 nt
Organism: Oncorhynchus tshawytscha (Chinook salmon)
Lineage: Eukaryota; Metazoa; Chordata; Actinopteri; Salmoniformes; Salmonidae
Source: Ensembl